Molecule: long non-coding RNA, 664 nt
Filed under: Gossypium raimondii (Peruvian cotton)
Lineage: Eukaryota; Viridiplantae; Streptophyta; Magnoliopsida; Malvales; Malvaceae
Description: long non-coding RNA (GRAI_LNC005272)
Source: RNAcentral
AAAGUUGUAGCGAAGUAGAUACGGUGAAGUAGAAUAACCAAUAGACUGAAGGAGUGGGAGAAGCACCACUGAAGUCGAGAUUCAGCGGGACCGGACAAAAUUGGUCCUCUUUUAAGGUUUUUGCUCCUUUCCCGUUACACGACAACAAGUAAAGAGGGGCAGCUGUAGUGGCCCAAAUUCAUCCGGCCCAGACAAAACAAAAACCAAAAAAUAAUAUUAAAAUCACAGUCUAUUUACAAAAAAAAAAAACCAGAUUGGCCCAAAUUACAAUCCCAAACCUAAACUACCCUAACUCAAACCUACUAAACCCAAUAACCCAGUAGCCCAAAAGCCCAAAACUUAAAAAAUUUUCAAAAACCCUAGCUCCUUUUGGCACCGCAACCUCACCUUGUCAGCAGGCUUACCGUCUAACACCCCCUUGCCACCACUAUCUACAAAACAACAGAGAAACAGAAGCAAAAAGCAAAAGCAGAGAAAAGAAAACAAAAAAACAAAAAGAAUAUACCUUGUAAUAUAUCUGGCUAUAAAAGCCAAAAUCAUCUUGUAACAUAAAGAAAAAAAGAAGAAGAAAUAAAAUACAAAAAAACGAAGUUAAAAAAAAAAGGUAAUUUAUUUUAUUUGCUUUUUUAUUUCAAAAAAAUAAGAAUAAAAACAAAGUUUAAAC